This 1473-nucleotide long non-coding RNA is filed under the name Oryza brachyantha (malo sina). RNAcentral's name for it is "long non-coding RNA (OBRA_LNC000193)". Lineage: Eukaryota; Viridiplantae; Streptophyta; Magnoliopsida; Poales; Poaceae. The record is from RNAcentral.
AUGAUUUUGCUUACAUAUACUAUGUACUGUGCCAGUCAAGUGACUCAAGUGCAUAGGUGUAAAAGAUUGCAUAAAAAUGUGGGGGAGAUUUCAAGGAGGCAGGGGUUGCGAAAGUUUGCAAGACAUUGAUAGAGAGGAGACCCAAGCUCAGAACCGUUAUUAGUGGGUUCGUAAGCCAAGCUCAGAACACGUCCGUUCCACGUGUCGCCCACUUGGCUUAAGAUUUAGAGAUGCUUCCGGAAAGGCGCAGCUAGCCAUGCGGCUAGCUGCAUGAACCCCAGAUCGGUCGUUCACAUGCGUGCCUUUGGUUAUUGCAACCGAAAGUGAGCUCACACACACUUAACUGCAUGAACAGCGACGCCGGAGCGGCAGAAAUGUUUCCUUGAAAUGAAAUGAGUAAAAUGCAGGAGUUACCUGUGAGUGUUGUUAAGGGCACAGGUCAAGAAAACAAGAUGCGCCCAUGUAGCAUACGGAAGUGAUGAGCCCUGCAUAUAAUUGAAAUGAUAGUGUAUUAAUUACAAGUACUUUAGUUAACAUUGUCUCUUCGUAGUGUAAACUUCACAGAAUGUUCGGUUUUAAUAAUGCACGUCUGCACAUGUGCAAGUUAAAUCCGCACAUUCGUAAGAUGGUAUAAAGUUCCUAUCUAGAAUCUUUGAAUUAGCUGCUAAUUAAAUUGGACAUAAUCCAGUUUGCAUUACAUUGAACAUUACACACGCGAUCUUUUGGACAACUAGAAAGCAAUAUAUAUUUCUAUAGAUAAUGCAACAGAAAAUAUAGAUGAUGGUCCAUAUAAACUGAAGUAUUUCAUUUUAACUAAUAAAUUCAAGAGGCAGGAAUUCAAUUCUCGAUGAAUGAACUAGAAACAAAAUUCCUAUUUUCUUCGUUCCAGAAUAAUUUUAUACUUUUACUCCAUCCAUGUCAUAUUGUAAGACUUGUUAGCCUUGUCUAGAUGCAUCAAUUGAUAAAUAUAUAUAGUUUAUAUAUGUUUCAAUGCAUUAGUAUCACAAGGUUAGAAAAAUUUAUAUUACGAAACAAAUUAGUUAACUUGAACCAGAAAGAUAUGACAGAGGGAGUUCAUCCCAAAGGAAGAAUGGUGCCUAAUUAAGCGCCUCAUUCUCGUUCCUGUUUCAAGGCACAUAGACCAAAGCAACAUUGCUGCUACAGUAUAAACAUGGGUUAUGGCAAUUACUGGGGAGGGAAUUUCAUGUCUAUUCCACCGACAAGUUUUUCAGUGGAUGAACAUGAUCAAGAAAAUAACAUGGUACAAAUGAUCAUGGAGAUGAACAAAUGCAGCAAGAAGGCUGAAGCGUACCUGUGUAUGUUUCCCUUGCAUGCACGUGACUUAGGAGGGGCCCGUUUCUCCAUCUUUUCAUUUCAUUUGCACCUAAACCCCUCAAGGAGCAAACAUGGCCAGCUCUGGUGCCUGUUAUUUAAACCCCCUCUUUCGCUCCUCACAAAGUCACAAGCCACACA